RNAcentral lists this ribosomal RNA (1204 nucleotides) under metagenome. RNAcentral's name for it is "bacterial SSU rRNA". It matches the Rfam family "Bacterial small subunit ribosomal RNA", at positions 295 to 1498 of the family's 1533-position model. The record is from RNAcentral.
GUAGGUUGACCCGCCACAUCGGGACUGAGACACUGCCCGGACCUCCACGGAGGGCUGCAGUAACGAAUAUUGCGCAAUGAGCGAAAGCUUGACGCAGCAACGCCGCGUGUAGGAUGAAGCCCCUCGGGGUGUAAACUACUGUCAGGGGUUAGAAAGUCCUCGGAUUGAUCAGCCCCAGAGGAAGUCACGGCUAACUUCGUGCCAGCAGCCGCGGUAAUACGAAGGUGGCAAGCGUUGUUCGGAAUCACUGGGCUUAAAGCGCACGCAGGCGGAACAGAAAGUGUCUUGUGAAAUCCCCCGGCUUAACCGGGGAAUUGCUCGGCAAACUUCUGUUCUUGAGGCAAGUAGGGGUACAUGGAACUCUUGGUGGAGCGGUGGAAUGCGUAGAUAUCAAGAGGAACGCCAAUGGUGAAGACAGUGUACUGGGCUUGUCCUGACGCUGAGGUGCGAAAGCGUGGGGAGCGAACGGGAUUAGAUACCCCGGUAGUCCACGCCGUAAACGAUGUCUACUAGGUUGUGGGUGUUCUGACACAGUCACAGCCGAAGCAAAAGUGUUAAGUAGACCGCCUGGGGAGUACGGUCGCAAGGCUAAAACUCAAAGGAAUUGACGGGGGCUCACACAAGCGGUGGAGCAUGUGGAUUAAUUCGAAUCAACGCGCAGAACCUUACCUGGGUUUGACAUGUUUGGAUGCCUAUCUGGAAACAGAGUCGGCUGCCCUUCGGGGUGAAACUUACACAGGUGCUGCAUGGCUGUCGUCAGCUCGUGUCGUGAGAUGUCGGGUUAAGUCCUUUAACGAGCGAAACCCUUGCCGUUAGUUGCCAGCGAGUAAUGUCGGGGACUCUAACGGGACUGCCGGUGUUAAACCGGAGGAAGGCGGGGAUGACGUCAAGUCCUCAUGGCCUUUAUGCCCAGGGCUUCACACGUGCUACAAUGGUGCCUACAGAGCGACGCGAGACCGCGAGGUGGAGCAAAUCGCAAAAAAGGUGCCUCAGUUCGGAUUGCAGGCUGACAACUCGCCUGCAUGAAGUUGGAAUCGCUAGUAAUCGCGUAUCAGCUAUGACGCGGUGAAUAUGUUCCUGAGCCUUGUACACACCGCCCGUCAAGUGAUGGGAGUCGGGAGUACCCGAAGUCGGAUUGCUAACCAUUUAUGGAGGCGUCUGCCGACGGUAAGUUCGAUGACUGGCACUAAGUCGUAACAAGGUA